GAUCACCUCCCCGAGCCUGCUGGCAAUGCUCUUCCUAAUGCACCCCAGGAGCUUUCUUGGUCACCAGGACACACUGCUGGCUCAGGGACAGUUAGUCCCUCUUCCUCUUCUCCACAGAGCUGCUUCCCAGCAGGCUGGCCCUCAGCCUGUGCUUGUGCAUGGGGUCAUUCCUCCCCAGCUGCAGGACCCUUGCCUUUGUUGAUUCCCUCACCAUUAUUUCACAGACACAAGGCUAAGGAUCCCUGGACACUGUGACACCUCUCCCAGUCUGCAGUCCCAUGUAUUUGGCCAACAUGGGCAGGCUGACCAGAAAGCCAGCAGGACAGGAGCAUCACAGGGAUGCACAGGAACCAGAACAUCAUGGGGUGGUCUGAAAUGUCAUCUUCAUCUGCUAAAACAAACCUGGUUAAACACAGUGAGGCCUCUGCAGAAAGAAAAAACCAGAAAAAUGUCCUGUAUUCUGCAGAGAUGAUUAAAUUGCAUGUCCUUUACCAGGAAGAGAGAGUCCUGCUGUGAGGUGACAAACACUCAUCCUUUGCCUUCACUAGAUGUGAUCAUAAUCUUCUGAAGGUGCUUACUCUUCCUGGCUGACUUUAAGGGAUGCCUGCUCUUCCAGAGUAGAUAUUUCUCUGCACUGACAGAAAGGGGAACUUAAACAACAAGUUGAGAGGUGGAUGGCUGCAGCAUGUGAAGUUUCAUCUUUCCAUGUGAGCCCUGUCCUCUGCAUCUACCCUCAGAGCUGUGUGACUGACCACGACAGCUCUCUGAGAAUGACCUGGUGAUAGCUUUCAUCUAAUGCACAAGUCAUUUACUGAAAGGGUUUCAACACUUUAGGUAUAUGGAAGUUUACUGGUAUUUGCCCAAAUGGCCUUUUGGUGGCAAUUUUCAAUGCUGAUUGCCAGAUACAGCCUUUCUGCUGCAAUAUAUAGCUACAAAACAAGUUACAGAAAAAAAAAUCCUGAAGUUUUCUCACUGGGGAAGGGUUACUGAGUUGAGGUAGU
RNAcentral lists this long non-coding RNA (1001 nucleotides) under Cyanistes caeruleus (blue tit). Its description in RNAcentral is "lncRNA (ENSCCEG00000005650.1)". The record is from RNAcentral. Lineage: Eukaryota; Metazoa; Chordata; Aves; Passeriformes; Paridae.